UUGCGUUCUGUUUCAUCAAAGGGUCAUUAGGCUUUCUACCAAGCUUCAGACUUUGAUCGCACCAGUAGUGACGUUUAUAGUUUUCUCAUCAACAGUAUACGACGGAUUUUUGGGGGAUUGGCGGUUUCUCAGCCAUUCUCCGUUGAAACUCUCAAGUAUAUUGGUGCUAUUUGCGUUGCGCAGAUCCCAUUUUUCCUCCUAUUCAGAUGCCCUGCGCUAACAUCGCAAGCGGCGACAGACAUUGGCACUCAGCUGUACUGGAAUCAAUCGUGGGCAUCUUUAAGAGACAAACGCGUAUUCAUCUUGGAAUUAGUUAUGAUGAGGACCAACAAAACAAUUAAAUUUCGGAUCCUCAAAUUUUGGAUAUUGUCAUACGAGAACUUCCUAAAGUAUCUACAAAAUCUCUAUGCGGUAGUUGUCAUCAUCAGAUCCGUAACCUCCAGGUCUCACAAAGACACUACCGUACCAAUUUAAGCAUCAAAAGUAAGGACCCUGGAUAGACACUUCUGAUAUAAGGAAUAUUUCAACGAACCAUUGACUUGAAUUUCCUCUACCAGUUUGAAGACUUAAUUAAUUCUAAUAAAACUGCCCACACCAAAAAAAAAAAAAAUUCGGAUAAAAGAACUGAACCUCGGUUUAUUUUGGAUACUAACAUGUUUGUUUUGGGAAACAAACAUUUCUAGUUUUAGGAACUGAACUUUCGUUCAGAAAACUGAAGUAUUUCGUAAAAAUACAAGCGUAUAUGGCUGGAAGAAACUUCGGUUACCUCAGCUAAGGUUUUGAUCCAAUGACUGAAAACUUUAGUCACCUGAACUAGAAACAUUAGUUUUCCAUAUGAACCAAAAUUUGUUUCUCCAUGAAUGCAAUACGCUCCUUUCACACUGCCAAAAUCCUCCAGUUUCAUUGCUCUUAUUUUAAUAGAUGUACAAAAUAAAAAGUAGAAAUUUUGAUCAGACUUUUAUUGUGCCUACAUAAUGCCGAGGUUGAGUGAAUAAUUUGAUUAACUGUAAAGUUUCAAUUUAUUUUAACUUUAAAUUCUAAGUCGUACAUUUUACUCACCCUUCGCACGGAACAACCCAGUAAUACUUGGCUAGCUGUCAAAAGGUUUGUUAGAGCUCACUUCUAGAGAGCCAGGUCAUAACGUCACUCCUCUCACGUAAGGGCGUAACUUGAUUUUUGCAUGAGCCCCAGAAAACAUGGAUUUAUGUGUGAAUCAGGGCUCACGCGAAAAUUGGAACAUGUCCUUACGUCAGAUUAGCGACGAAAUGGGAUCACUAGACUUGAGAUGGAUGGCGACCCUACCAUGAUUAGCGUCAAAAGUCUUGCAAGGGUAAUAUAAGGCUACCACUUACCCAAAAUCUAUAGAUGACGCUUAAAUACGUCCUAGCCCUAUAUCCAAUUUUUCGGCGUAUGUUAUAUAUGUGCGGCUAUCAGCGAUAUCUCUCAUGUGUCUUUUAAAUCGUGUUACUUGUUAAAGUAUACCUGAUUGCACUCGAUGCAGCUGUACUAAGUCACAGAAAAGCAUUUAAACGAUCGACAAAGCAACCUAGAGUAGAUUACGGAGUUACCCUCUUCGAAUGGAUGAGUGUAAAAAGCCUCAUCGAGAAUUUAAUUUUUAAUAACUCAGCUCUAUAACUACCAAUUUUGAUUGCGACGUAUCAAAAUUUUUAAGUGUGAAUGUUUUAUUUUGUGGUAGAAUAAAUCAACGCUUUGAGAUUUUGAAUAUUUCAUGCUUUAGUCUGAUCGUGUCUAGGUCAUUUUAUACAAAUUUAAAGGCAUCUUGUCGAUUUCCUUGGCUUUCUGACUUAAACGAGUGUGUGUGGAGAUUUUUAAACGCUUUUAUUAAGGUUUGUGACAUUAAAGAAUAGGCACCUCUAUUCUUAAAAUACUUUGCUCUGAAAAAAUGACAUAAUGGAAAGCAUAUAAAGAUACAAGUUUUCAUUCAGGGAGAACUGACAAAGCACAAAUCCGAAAGUGACCCUCCUCUCAUUCCUGAGGUGCGAGUAUUCUACCGUGCUAAGUAAAAAUGCCGUAUAAGCAUUCGAAUGGUGCCAAAUUUCCACUCAGAAAAUAUUUAUUUUCGAAUAUAGUUAUGAAUAGCCUUCCUUGAAAUUUUCAGACUUUUUAGCUAAAGUUACGAACAAAAUCCUUCAAAAAAUCGGAAGAUAAAUAUUAACAAUUUUUUCUGAAAAUGUGUGAUUUUUCGAAGAAAAUUUGGCAACGCUUGAUGGUUCUUACGGUGUUCUUCCAUAGGACGGUAGUAUUGAGAUUUGGAUGAAGGGAAAUUGCACCGCGCCAUGAGCUGGACGCAACCCGCUUAGCGCAAACAUGCGGGAGUCGGAAACCUACGCGCAAAGAUCAACACAUUGGCUCUUAAUUAAGAUUCUCGGCUUGCGGAAUAGUCCUUCUUUAUACAGUCCGCAGCAGUUAUUAAUUAAAUGGGUAAGCGGGAAACUUGAUUUACUAAUUAAUUGAUGAACUUUACUUUCGAUGGGCUACCAAUAGACGGGUAAAGUGAAUUCCACUGUUUGUCAUUUAAUUACGCUUGCUAAUCAAACAAUCAUGAAUAUCUGUUUGACUUUCUCUCAAAAUGUGAAAUUCAUAAUGACCCCCAGACCGAUUACUUUUUUUCCAAAUUUUUCACUUCAGUGCGGAUUUUGAUUUGUCAAAAAUUAAACAGUCCAGGUUUUGAAUCUAAACACUUAAUUAAAUUUUCUUAUGUCAAAUUCAAGACAUAGUAAAAAGAGAGGAAAAAAUCUAAUAUAUGUAUGCGUAUAUAUAGUUGCUCCUACAACGCACUCUGACGUUCUGACACCCAAACGCCACAUAUGACGAGAGGUUUCGGGCAAAUGACACCGCAACAAGCAAAAAUUGAGAAGCAAAUCCAUAGACAAUAGAGACCCUCAUUUAACUUUACACUAACCACCGUCCUCUGAAAAUGUUUAUGUACAUACACAUUUACGUAUACCGUUCAUGGAAGGACUCAAACCUGUGUUAAUUUGUCAGUGCAAAUAACAAAUUACAUUCGGUUAAUGAAGAAUUUGAGUAAAUGUAAAAUAUUGGCACGUCGAUGGCUUUUAAAUAGCAUGUAAACGUGAUUCAAAAUUGGCUGUUGAUUAUCUCCUCAAUUACAUCAUGUUGGAGAGUAACCAUGAUGAUUAGUCACAGAAUGCAAAUUGAUGUUCUUGUUGUAUUUUGAAGUUGCAGAAUUCAAAACAAUAUAAAAACUGUACAUCAACUGCGUGUACUGGAACAAAAACAAAAUGAAGAGUUUGAUGAUAUUUAAUAGUACAGAAUCGUUCAAAAUUCUAAUAAUUUUGAACUUAUACAAGUGUAAAGGGAGGAUCAGAAGUAUCAUUGGUGUUUUUCUAAGGAAGGUGAAUUGAAUUUUUGGACAAAAUCUACACAAAUUUCAUGUCAGAUUAUUAAGGAUUAGUCUGAAUCAAGCUCAUUUUUAAAAACGUCCUCUUAUGUUUUAUUUGUUGCCAAUGAAAUCUUAU
Molecule: long non-coding RNA, 3500 nt
Filed under: Bemisia tabaci
Lineage: Eukaryota; Metazoa; Arthropoda; Insecta; Hemiptera; Aleyrodidae
Description: lncRNA ENSSSA1NGG010962
Source: RNAcentral